AAUAAAGCCCGACCCAACCCAUACCAGACCGGCCCGACCCGACCUGACCCGGAAAUUUAGGGCUUUUUCGGGGCGGGCCUCCUUUGGAUUGGGAUUGCGACGAACCAAUUCAUCUCGCCGGAAGCCUGUCUGCACAUGGAAUUAGAGUCGCUCUUAGCUCUAGCUGCACCACAGAUGCUGAGAAGAUUCAAUCUGAGCCACCGAGCUGGAAUGCACCUCAUACGUCGGUGAAAUCGCCCCAACAACAAGCUUCCAGUAUCACUCCUUCAUUUAUCUUCAAUCGAGGAACUCCCGGAUGAAUGCCUCUUUGAGAUCUUCAGACGGCUUCCCAGCUGUAGAGAAAGGAGCUCAUGUGCCUGUGUUAAGAUCUUCGAGCUGUUGAGCCUUGGUGUGAGAAAGAAACUCCCUUGGGUCUCGCUACACAAUCUGCUCAUCCAGCUCGCUUCUCGCCUAAUGACAAAUACUCAAGGCAAAGAGUUCUUCUAAAGAAGCGAUUUGGAUUGUUGCCGACCCAACAACCGCCUCAGAAAUACUAAAUAGGGGAUAUCGCAUAGGUGUUCUUUUCCUGCGAAACUAAGAUUGCAUGUAAUAGAUUUGGUUUCUCAGCAUAUGUCUCUAUUUGGUCUUAGGUCUUUGUUUGUGACACGUUGACAGGCUCAAUUGUAAACCACUUUUUGGAUAACAGAAUCAAUUUUUACUUUAUACAGCCAACUUGACAGAGAUUAUAAGCAGCUUGCAAUUUUUA
Molecule: long non-coding RNA, 745 nt
Organism: Syzygium oleosum
Lineage: Eukaryota; Viridiplantae; Streptophyta; Magnoliopsida; Myrtales; Myrtaceae
Exons: 4
Source: RefSeq, a predicted model, not a curated record